Molecule: long non-coding RNA, 894 nt
Organism: Talpa occidentalis (Iberian mole)
Lineage: Eukaryota; Metazoa; Chordata; Mammalia; Eulipotyphla; Talpidae
Exons: 4
Source: RefSeq, a predicted model, not a curated record
UUUCAACAGGUACGCGGUAUAAAAAUUUAACAAGAUAUCUGCCAUGUCUUGUCACGCUGGCGCUGAGAUUCGGGGUGUACUGAACAUUCAGGGUCCACUCCAGGUUGGACGAGCAAGAGAGUGACCACUGACAGCCUGUGACGCCUGAUGCCUUUUAUGACCUCACUUUCCAACACAGCGUCACUUCUGCCAGAUUCCACCGCCUCGAACCGAAUCACCGAGUCCAGCCCCAACUCCACUGCACCCCUUGAAGUGGGUCACAGAGCUGGAGAUACAACGGGCACAGGACUGAAUCUCCAGUGGUUCAGAAAACAAACACGCAAAGAAUGAACCAUCAGGCAACAUGAGGGAUCGGCACGCGAUGUAAGAGGACCAAUGAGACGCAAGGCGUCUAGCUGAUAAAAAGCUAGACGGUGACUUUAUGAGACUUCUAAGUCCAGGAUUCUUUGAUGCUGCCCGGAGAAGGCCAAAGAAGCUGGCCUAAGAAAUGAGAGGCCAUGAACUGAGCUGAGAAGCCAGCAGCCAGAGGCCGUCGGACCUUCCAGCGCAGCCCGCAGCUGUGAGAGCCAGCAGAGGCGCCACCAGCCAAAUCAACUGUAAAAGAAAUCCAUCAGUGCUGUUUCAGCAACCAUUUGGGGAAUGGAUGUGAAGAUUCAGGGAGGUGAUAACAUAACCUGGCAUGCAGUAAGUGCCUAAUAAGUGCUGGUCAUAGCUGACCAUACAUUUCUGCUCUUGUCACCUUUGCCGAUCACUCCUAGGUGGAGGGGCACUAGGAGGGCUUACGGUGGGAAGCAAGCAAUGAACUGUGAUAAACACACAGGGAAUUUACUAGAGAAUAAUGGGAAAUUCUCAGGAACACCAAGGGCUGGAAAACCUAAGAAAACAGUUCAGAUU